CUUCAUUUAGAUCGGGUUUUGGUUCCAUCUUCCUCGCAGGUCGCAGUCGCUACGAUGUGACGAUUCACUGUUAUCGGGGCGAGCAAUCGGAGUGCUUGUAUAACUCGUGUGUGUAAAAAUUGUCACAGAUCGAGCUUCCUUUGUCGAUGCCUCUUCGAGGGGGAGUGGAUGAGGCGGUUCAUACCGUUUCUUCCUCUUCUACAAUCCGAAGGGGGCGAUCUCAUAUCCUAUCGUCUUGGAGAGCAGAUUCUCUGCGGUGACCUCUUUGGCAUGGCCAUGAGAAAUACAUUCAUUCUUCAAUACAUAUAUACCUGUGCAUUAUGUCUCAAGGAAUUUGAAAAUCAUAUCUAGCAAUUGAUUGAUGAUUUGGCCUGUGAAGAAAUAUUCAUUAAAAUUACACCAUCUUUCGGGACUGAAUGGCCGAAAGGCCUUGCUGUCAUUCUGCAAUUCUGAGGCCUUAUUUUAUCUUUGGUUUUCAAGUCUUAGGUUCAAUUUUGUUGUGAUCUGAAUUUUUGAUGUUCGUUGUAUCGUGUUGCAGAUUGUAAGCUAAAUAAAUUGUUUAUAUCUGCUCGCAGCUGUGCUCUUCGUUUGUCUAUUUUCCUGUAAUCGGAAUUACUACACCUGCGUGCUUAUGGACGGUCAAGUGCUGCUCAGCUUAACAUACAGCAACACUUAACAUUUAUUCAUAAGCUAUAAUGAUAGCCGCCUCGUCUUUCGAGUCUUUCCUGUAAUUAUCUCAGGGAAGCCUAUCCGCGCUGUGGCUUACAUUCUAUUUUUAUGAACAAAUUAAACAAAUUCUGGGUUUUUUUUAACAUAAACUAUAUAUUCUUCAAAUAAUUAUAUAAACAUUUCAUUUCUGGGGCUCAACUAGGCCCAAAUCGGACCAGCCACAUAAUUAUCUAAAGAUUUCACUACGAUUCUAUUGAAUUCAUUUCUUCAACCGAUUUAGGCAUUCUGUUGUUUUGGACAUUUGACUUCGUUGAUUAAGGUGCGGGGUUUUUGACUGCUGUUGUCUCUACCGUCUUCGUUGGCUCGCCUGCCUUCUCAAUGUCAUCUACGAAAGUGAUAUCUGAUUCGAUUUUGUGCUCUCUGUUCUUUCCCCAUAAUACACUGUAUAGUCCUCCAACCAGCAACAGUCCUCCCAAUAUGCUGUUAUAAUAAAAUGAUUUUGUUUAUAGA
Ipomoea triloba (trilobed morning glory) is the source of this 1179-nucleotide long non-coding RNA. RefSeq lists it as uncharacterized. The transcript has 2 exons. NCBI's taxonomy places the organism in Eukaryota, Viridiplantae, Streptophyta, Magnoliopsida, Solanales, Convolvulaceae. The record is from RefSeq and is a predicted model, not a curated record.